This 441-nucleotide ribosomal RNA is filed under the name Streptomyces sp. 1R5-401. RNAcentral describes it as "partial 16S ribosomal RNA". Lineage: Bacteria; Bacillati; Actinomycetota; Actinomycetes; Kitasatosporales; Streptomycetaceae. The record is from RNAcentral.
CCCAGGCGGCGAACUUAAUGCGUWAGUGCGGCACCGACGACGUGGAAUGUCGCCAACACCUAGUUCCCACCGUUUACGGCGUGGACUACCAGGGAAUCUAAUCCUGUUCGCUCCCCACGUUUUCGUUCCUHAGCGUCAGUDAUGGCCCAGWGAUCCGCCUUCGCCACCGGUGUUCCUCCUGAUAUCUGCGCAUUUCACCGCUACACCAGGAAUUCCGKUCUCCCCUACCACACUCUWGUYUGCCCGUAUCGRAUGCAGACCCGGGGUUDAGCCCCGGGCUUUCACAUCCGACGUGACAGRCCGCCUACGWGCUCUUUACGCCCAAUAWUUCCGGACAACGCUUKCGCCCUACGUAUUACCGCGGCUGCUGGCACGUAGUUAGCCGGCGCUUCUUCUGCAGGUACCGUCACUUYCGCUUGUUMCCUGCKGDAWGUGGUUUAC